GAUGAACGCUGGCGGCGUGCCUAAUACAUGCAAGUCGAGCGAACGGACGAGAAGCUUGCUUCUCUGAUGUUAGCGGCGGACGGGCGAGUAACACGUGGAUAACCUACCUAUAAGACUGGGAUAACUUCGGGAAACCGGAGCUAAUACCGGAUAAUAUUUUGAACCGCAUGGUUCAAAAGUGAAAGACGGUCUUGCUGUCACUUAUAGAUGGAUCCGCGCUGCAUUAGCUAGUUGGUAAGGUAACGGCUUACCAAGGCAACGAUGCAUAGCCGACCUGAGAGGGUGAUCGGCCACACUGGAACUGAGACACGGUCCAGACUCCUACGGGAGGCAGCAGUAGGGAAUCUUCCGCAAUGGGCGAAAGCCUGACGGAGCAACGCCGCGUGAGUGAUGAAGGUCUUCGGAUCGUAAAACUCUGUUAUUAGGGAAGAACAUAUGUGUAAGUAACUCUGCACAUCUUGACGGUACCUAAUCAGAAAGCCACGGCUAACUACGUG
This 497-nucleotide ribosomal RNA is filed under the name uncultured bacterium. RNAcentral's name for it is "partial 16S ribosomal RNA". It matches the Rfam family "Bacterial small subunit ribosomal RNA", at positions 28 to 507 of the family's 1533-position model. The record is from RNAcentral.